Molecule: microRNA precursor, 77 nt
Filed under: Oryza sativa (Asian cultivated rice)
Lineage: Eukaryota; Viridiplantae; Streptophyta; Magnoliopsida; Poales; Poaceae
Description: miR5811 stem-loop (osa-MIR5811)
Source: miRBase by way of RNAcentral
AAAAAAAAAACCUAACCUAGGAGUUCGAUGGGACAUAAGAUUAUGUCUCAUCCAACUUCUAGGUUAGUUUUUUUUUU